Molecule: long non-coding RNA, 1002 nt
Filed under: Fragaria vesca (wild strawberry)
Lineage: Eukaryota; Viridiplantae; Streptophyta; Magnoliopsida; Rosales; Rosaceae
Description: long non-coding RNA (FVES_LNC003981)
Source: RNAcentral
UUACCUGACCACCGUAAUGAUUACCAUCUAGAUUAGCGACACAUGUCUCUUCAAAUUGUUUUAUUUUAUAGGAAAAUUUUAAUAACAGUACAUGACAGAUAUGUCACUCUAAAUUUUGGUACAUUAACUUUCAAAAAUAUCAAAAUAAUGCAUGAGUUUCAAAUCUCAACCUAAGUUUAAUACAUGGUGUCAAUAACACCGUUAAGCUUAUGUAAUUAUUUAUUUUUCAAAAGGUAUUUUUGUACUUUAGCUAUUUCUAUAGAUAUGUGAUCUUCAUCUUGUUAUUUUUUCUUUAAACUUGAAAUCUACCAAAAUCUGAUUUUCUACGAGCAUUAUUGUGAUAUCAACAAAAGCAAACAAAUCACCUUGAAUCACGAUUAGACAUUUGUCUAAAUUAAUCAUGCAAAGAUAAAACAAUAUUAAUCGAAAAGGCACAUCUUCUGAAACCCAUUAGCCCAAGUCCUCAACUAUCUCCAACUCCUCCCUUGAAGACUCACCUUUGCAAUUCAACCAGUCUCAACAUAAUUAAACUCCUCUGCAAUAUCAACUCCAGCCAAGUGACACACAUCGCCAUAUCUGGCGCUCUCUCUCUCACUAAGAUCACCAACCACCUCCUCACUCACCAAAAGUAACAAAUUCCCAACACAACUAUUCAACCGAAACCAGAAGUUGAUGUCUCUCUCUUAAUUUACUCACUCUGCGGAGUUUCAUACUCCUAUGUUAUCUGAUCUUCUUCUUCUUUCUUCUCCUCUUCCUCCCUCCCUUCAUGAUAUCUAGGUUUGAUCUAGGCACUUAAUUAGAUCUAAUAGAAAAUUUCAUUAAAGUCACUUUCAUAACCUUUUUUGUAACACAAGUCCACCUUAAUAUUUUUACCCAUAUAAGUCCACUUUUAAACAUAAACCUGUCAUUUUAUUUUUACGAUGUUCCUAAAAUACCCUAUUUCCCUACAAAUCAUUUUUUCUCUCUUCUUCUCACGUCCUUUUCACUUCUCUCUCUCUCUCU